Molecule: long non-coding RNA, 974 nt
Organism: Bubalus bubalis (water buffalo)
Lineage: Eukaryota; Metazoa; Chordata; Mammalia; Artiodactyla; Bovidae
Exons: 2
Source: RefSeq, a predicted model, not a curated record
GCCCCUCCGGCCCCGGCUCGCCCCGGACUGGAGCCGCCUUUCGGAUGCAGGCGUCGUCCCCCGCCCCUGGGAGCACUCUUGGGGACUUCUAACAGAAGGUCGUCGCAACCCCGUUUCCUGGAUCUGCUCAAAAAACUAGGCUGUUCUCCCGGGCCGAGCAGAGCUGUGGGGUGGGGGGUGGGUGCAGGCCGUUCUGUGGACAGAUGAGUGAAUUAUUUGGUGAUUCUGGAGGUGGGGGAGCCCGGGAAGGGAGUAUAACCUGAUUCGGGUUGCUACCCCGCCCUGAUGUCCACACCUUUAAGACAAGGAUCCCCUUAUGCCAUUUCCUUCUCGUCUGUUUCAGUUAGGCUGAAGCCUUGACUUUAAGGAACGUACUUGUGAAACGAGUCAGGCAAGGAUGUAUGGAACGGAAGGGCACUGUGAGGCCGACUGAUUUUUUUUGAAAGGGGGCAUCUUAAAAAGCUGAUGGAUUCCACUUUCUUGAACUCCUACGCGCAUCAGCAUCUUUUCACCAGAUACAGUAAACACAAUUUUCGAGCUGUCUGGCUUGGGUUUCUUCCACAUCUCUUCAAAAGAACAAACCAAAACCACAAAAGGUAGACUACUAUCUGUUCAUUCUGGCUCCACACUGCAAACAACCUGAAUAUCUGUGAACAAUGCUGUACUGUGGAUUGUGGGAACAUUCUAUCACAAGUCUUCCGAUCUGUCUUCAGCAGAUACUCGUAACGGUCCUGCGGGCUGGUUUAACAAUCGCAUUCCUGCCCCCAGCAGUGAAGUGGAUGGAAGCCCCAGUUUCUCUGCAUGCUCACCAGCACCUGGUGUUUUUUCACGUUAGCCAUUCUAGUGGGUGUGUAAAUAGUAUUUCAUUGUGGUUGAAGUUUGCAUUUCCCUGAUGACUAAUGAAAAUGAGCAUUUUUUCAUGUUUGGAUUUUCUUCUGUGAAGUACCUGUUCAAGUGUUUUGCCAAUUGUUCCA